CAUAUCUCUCUUACGGGAAGGAUGAGAAGCUUCGACUAAGGUUCGAUUCGAGCGAAAGCGAGAAAGCGUUGCCGCAGGCAACGACUCGAAGGGCGAAGCGCGCAGCGCUGAGUCAUCCUUCCCCCACCACCA
This 132-nucleotide small RNA is filed under the name Salmonella enterica. RNAcentral's name for it is "RtT sRNA". It matches the Rfam family "RtT RNA". From Rfam's summary of the family: This family represents a bacterial cis-regulatory element known as RtT RNA. The exact function of RtT is unknown although it is thought that it may be involved in changing the cellular response in relation to amino acid starvation. Lineage: Bacteria; Pseudomonadati; Pseudomonadota; Gammaproteobacteria; Enterobacterales; Enterobacteriaceae. The record is from RNAcentral.